AGUGAACGCUGGCGGUAGGCCUAACACAUGCAAGUCGAACGGCAGCACAGUAAGAGCUUGCUCUUACGGGUGGCGAGUGGCGGACGGGUGAGGAAUACAUCGGAAUCUACUUUUUCGUGGGGGAUAACGUAGGGAAACUUACGCUAAUACCGCAUACGACCUACGGGUGAAAGCAGGGGAUCUUCGGACCUUGCGCGAUUGAAUGAGCCGAUGUCGGAUUAGCUAGUUGGCGGGGUAAAGGCCCACCAAGGCGACGAUCCGUAGCUGGUCUGAGAGGAUGAUCAGCGACACUGGAACUGGGCCACGGUCCAGACUCCUACGGGAGGCAGCAGUGGGGAAUAUUAGACAAUGGGCGCAAACCUGAUCCAGCCAUACCGCGUGGGUGGAGAAGGCCUUCGGGUUGUAAAGCCCUUUUGUUGGGAAAGAAAAGCAGCAGGUUAAUACCCCGCUGUUCUGACGGUACCCAAAGAAUAAGCACCGGCUAACUUCGUG
Molecule: ribosomal RNA, 492 nt
Filed under: uncultured bacterium
Lineage: Bacteria
Description: partial 16S ribosomal RNA
Rfam family: Bacterial small subunit ribosomal RNA
Source: RNAcentral